Marmota monax (woodchuck) is the source of this 15134-nucleotide long non-coding RNA. RefSeq lists it as uncharacterized. The record is from RefSeq and is a predicted model, not a curated record. The transcript is spliced from 3 exons. Lineage: Eukaryota; Metazoa; Chordata; Mammalia; Rodentia; Sciuridae.
CUUCAGUGGCAUUCACAUAAAACCCAGCACCAGUGCCAAAGUCCCAGCUCUCAUCUUCCCCUUUAAUAUUGCAGCCACCUGUCAAGAAAAAAUCUGGUAUUUUUAUCCACUCUCUGGUAAUUUAUUUAAUAAUGUACUUUUAGAUAAAUAUGCAAAUCCAUUUGCAUUAUAGCUGUUCAGGAACUCUCUCUUUUGGAGUACUUGGUAAGACUGUAUUCCUGGACCUCCUGGCCUGGUAUAGGGACCAUGUGACUAGUUCUGGCCAAUAAGGUGAGAGGGAAUGACCUGCCAAACAGAAUUCAGCUUCCAAGGUUGUAUAGCUAAUGAAAGAAUGUUGUGACAGUCAUCUUAAUUUGCCAAAGACAGGAAUCACCACAUGGGGACUAUCUUUGAAGACUUCUUUAGAUGUUCUGAUUUUAGCUAAUCUGUCAACUUUAGCAACUUACUGGCAUUUUGUGUCAGUGAUGAAUUGCUUAUGAAUGUGCAAUCUUGAACCAAUCAGUUGAAACGUAUCACAUCUUGGGGGAAACAGACUCGAAGCAAGUGGUUCCUUUUAAAAAUCUUUUCUACCUAUCAUUUUAAUUAUGAAAGGUUUCCUUUGGUAAGUAUCACAAUACAAAAGUACAAGGGUAACCACUGGGUCUAAUAUGAAUCUAUUCUAAGCAAAUGAAUGUAUUAUUAGGGAAUUUAUGCUAUAUUUUAAGAUCAAAUUUAACAAAACAAAAAAAUAGCUGGUGGAAAAAAUAUUGUAUAAGCUAUUCAGGGAAAGAUGAUAAUUAGCUUUAGCAAACAUAGAACCCCCAAUGAGGAAAAAUCCAGAAUAGGAAAAUGAAAAUUGACUGGUGAACCUCACUUAGGGGAUGAUUAUUAGUAGAUUCCAUUAAAUGAACAGUUUAGGAGGCAACUUAUAAUUUGUUUGGUCUGUUAACUUUAGAAGUGUCUUCUGGAUAGUAAUAAAUAGCUUCAAUGGUAAUAUGCAUCACCAAUACCCAACUGGAAGCCCAGACCCAAAGCAAGAGUCAGAAAUGAAGAAUAGGUGGGGGUAGAAAAUGAAAUUUCAACCUUGAAACAGUAGAGCCUGGUAACUGGGGAAAAUUCUACGUGAACCUUUAAAGGUUGAGGAUAGAUAUCAAGUGGGGUGAAGCAAGGAAGGAGAUAAAGGUGCCUGAUGUUCCAAAGCAUCCAAAAGACAAUGGGAACUAUUAAAACAUUAUUAAAAGAUCUUUACUGAUAACAUUCAUCUCUAAAGUAUACUAAAUACCUAUAACAAUCAACCACUAUUUAUUCAUUCAGUUGUUCAACUACAAAUGAAUUACAAGUAAUUAUUAAUUGUAUUACAAUUACAAUGUACAAGUAAUUCAACUGAAUUACUUGUACAUUUUUAAUGAGUAUUUAAAGUCUUGGAGCUGUUCUGAUCACUCAAUUAGUAUUUUAAGGUAUUUUGUAGGAGAACGAAAUGUACAUUGGAUAUGUGGACUUCAGCCAACUAAAUAGUCCUAGAAGUGAGUGAUGGUAUGAUUCUUAAUUUUCUUAAAUCAGAAUUUUAUCAAGUGUUGAAAUUAGCUUUUAAAUUUAAAAUUUGAUUUAAAAUCAAAUGAUAUGGAAUUUUUCUAAAUUAUAAUAGAAGUCAGCAAGAGCAUAUUGUUACAUGCAACACUUUCAAUAACAAUAGGCAAGGCAAAAAUCUAUGUAGCUAGGCAAUAUUAUUUGAAUGUCAAUAUUUUAGAACAUGUAAAAUAUUAGUACAAAUAAAAUGGUAUUUUCUACAUGUAGUAGGAAAUAAGUUAUUAGGGAAAGUAUUAAGGUUUAUACUAUUUUCAGAUACCAGUCUGUUCUGUGUUUUAAAAAUGUUACAGUUUAACCCUCCCAGGAGAUGUCCAAGGACCUCCACCUACAGAUGCCCUUUGUGGUGUAUGACCCAGGUUACUGUGUGCACUUGAAAAAAAUUUCUCUUAAAUAAUCUGUAAUUUAAUUUUGAGACUUAGAUUUCAAAUUAUCAAAUAAGGGAAUGUUGUACAAAACUUUUAAUGAAUAAACUCCUGGAUAAGGGCACAUACAAAUUUAAAAAAAAAAUAAGAGGCUUCUCUUAAAAGUAAGGCAAUUCUUUCCUUUUCUUAGAGCAUUUUAUUUUGCAAACUUGUAAAUUCUCUGCCCUCAGAUGUAAAUCUUUUAAAAACCCAUUGCAGGGCUUUCAAUCCCAGAGUCUUUUCCAAGAUCCAAGGAGUAUUACAUGAAAUGUAAUCAUCAAAGGAGAUGCAUAUCCAAAGGAGAUGGUAUCCCAGUCUUCCAGUUUAGGUUGGAAGGGUAGAAGCCUAACUUCAAGGAAGAUCUCUCUCCAAGUUGCAAAACUACCUCUUGUCAUUAAAAUGCAAGAGAUUUGUUUUUCCUUUGUAUGAAGCCAAUUAGCUAACACACAUAGUCACUUCAAUUACUAGGUAAAUUUAGGAGGGACUGUGUGACAAAUGGUGCCAGCAAGGCCUCUUGACUGAGGAGUUAUUCUUUAUCUUGUGGAUGUGUAUAUCAUAGGUUGCAUGUGCUCAGCUCUAUAAAAAUGUGGGGUUUGGGUCUUUGCAAUCUCUGUAUUGCCGGUGAGGUGCAUCACAUUCUGGUUCAGUGUGUAUUCAAUAAUAAAGCUAUUUUCUUUCUCUACUGUCUUUGUGGAGAGAUUUUCUAGGUUAGAUAAUUUUAUAUCCCCAGCAUGACCUCAUAUUGAUUAUAUGGAUGGAUUUCACUUGCUCAUAAAAAUACUCCCUUGCCAGAUGUUAAUAUUUAGUUUCAUUAUCUAUGGGUUAACCAUUCAACAUCAAACUUAAUUCUCCCACCUCCAAAUAGCAUUGAGUUAUGCUUGAACACAUUCUGCUAUUCUUUCCCAUCCUCCGUGGACAUUGUUUACAAUGAUGUUCUGUAACUUUAAUUUGGACCUAGAGGAUUAAUUUUAUGAUAGCUUGAAGAAUGAAACAGCAGCAAGAUGGACUGUCCUAAGCUUCAUGUGGCCAGGAACUGUCAGUUAACUGAGGACAAGAGGACUGCAAGAGGUGGGAAGAGAAGAGAGCCUCUGUUGUCAGGAAUUCAAGAUCAGUGAAUGAAUGGCAGAAAAUAAAACAUACCAUGACCUCAAAAAGCAGGAUAAGAUGAGGCAAUGGCUCCAAGUUCAAGAAGUGGGGAAGAAAUAUGCUGAAUUUCUGGCAACAGACUGUUACAAAACAGUUCUUGCUCUACCAGGUUGAGAUCAGACCAAAACCAGUUCUUUAUCAUAUGGACCACACAUAGAGCAUCAUUGUUCAAUGAACUUUCUACAAUGAUAGAAGUGUCCCAUAUCUGUACUGUCCAAUGCACUAGCCGUCAGCCAGAUGUUCUGUUGAUCAAGUGUGGGCAGUGUAAUUUAAUAUUUACUCUUAUUUUUAAAUUGGUUUAAAAAUAGUAUCUACUCCAUUGGACAGUACAGAACUAUGAUUCAAGGGGAAAAGGUUUUUGGGUCAUUGACUUAUGAAAAAAAAAUGUUAUAAUGCCUGUACUACUCGGCAGGGAGUAGUGACGGUGGGAAUCUUGUGUGGGAUGCUGAUCGGCAUUAAUCACUGGUUGGAGGAUGUGUAGACAGGAGUUGAAGUGCUCCUAAAAGUUAACAGCAAUGAGACCAUUUGGAUGCUCGGUAUGAAAUAAGCUUUUCUGGGUUCUCUCCAGCCAGCUCAUGAGAGAGACCUUUUUACAGUCCUUCUUUCACACAUUUCAUUAUUUUCAAGUUCUAUCUUUAUCUUGCCCCAUCCUGGGAAUCCUAAGAGGAUUCUAGAGAGUUUUAUAAAUUGCUUUGUAGAUUAAAAUUCUAUAUAAAGUGUCUAUUACUACCAGCAGUCCUGACUUAGAGAGAUUAGACUUCUGACAGUUCCCCCUUUAUAGGGUAUGGAGCAAUGAAUCUGCAUUAUUAACCCAGGAGGCAGAAUCGCACAGAUAGUCGGAUCAGGGGUUCUGCUUCCCAGUGAUCUUACCCAUGCUGAUAACCCUCCUGUAUCCUCAGCCUGGCCUCACAGUUCUUUCCUUCUCUAUGCGUGUUCAUCCUUUCCUGGUGUGUCAGCUUGUGGACAGAGCUAAUCUAGAUCUUUGUGGAGGGACGUGCCAUUAGCUGGAAACUGCAGGUAGGUUGGCUGAAAGUCGUGAAAUAAGAAUUGCACAGUGGAAACGGCAUUGGACUUGAAGUCAGAAGACCUCCUUUGAGUCCUAGCCCUGCCCUCUGGGUUAUGAAACCAUAAUUGGAUGCUUAAUGUAUUAGAGUCCUAGUUCUUUUAUUCAUUUAACAGAUACUUUACUGAAUAACAUUUUGGAUUAGGUAUUAGGAACUAGAAAUUUGUCAGUGAACUAAACUGAAAAUCUCUAGUCUCAUCAAACUUGCAUUUCCAGUGGAGGGAACUGAAAAUAAAACACAAUAAAUAUAUUACAUAGCACAUAAGACAAGCUGGGGAGAGGAAUAGGAAUGGAUGGAAGAGAAUAUUUGAUAUAAUUUUCUUUUUUUUUUUUUUGUGAAUAUGUAAUCUUUUUUUUUUUAAUUUUUUAUUGUGGGUUGUUCAAAACAUUACAAAUUUCUUGACAUAUCAUAUUCCACACUUUGAUUCAAGUGGGUUAUGAACUCCCACCUUCACCCCAUACACAGAUUGCAGAAUCACAUCAGUUACACAUCCAUUGAUAUAAUUUUCAUUGGGGAAUCAGGAUAGGCCUCACUGAGAAAUAGACAUUUGAGCAAAGGGUUGAAGGUAAAUGCCUCAUUUCCUGUGUAGGGAGAGACUUCUAAGCAAUGUCAUUUUGGUUCAGAAACUUGAAAAUGAUAGAGGAACUUGAAAAUAAGCAUGGUUGGUGACCCUCACUAGGAGAGAAAACGGCCACCCUUGAAAUGCCUACUGUGUGCUGGGUGCCAAAUACUUUGUAUCUGAAAGCUGAUGCUAACUGGCAUUCUUCACCCUGGAAACUGAAGGCUCACCCUAAUACUUUGAUGAAUGAUCAAAGUCUCAGGAAUGGGAGAAUUUUCAAUGUGAAUCUGAUUCCAUUUCCUAGUGUGGGUUUUAUCUCAAUAUUAUGGAAUAGGCUGGUGCCUAGGGGUAUGUAAUGCAGUAUAAAACUAUUUGGAGUUGUUCUCCAUGGGACUCCAAGUUGCUGUUCCUCCACAAUCAUUUCAAGGAUGUUUGAAUAGUGAAAUCUUGGAAGACAGAUAAUGUCUCCAUCUGGAGCCAAGAACAGGCUUGCUUACUGCUCAUCAUAAAAGAUUUAGCUUUGCUAAGCUCAGGUUCCUUUCCUAUAAUGUAAUCCACUGUGUUUGUGGUUGUCAUUUGGCCUUCUUUUUAUCACCCUGUGGGAAAUGGAACUUGGGCAACCAGUGUGAGAAAGUGAUAAUACUUUAUUUUGCUGGGGUGAAUCUCUGACCCAAGAGUCUCAUAUCUUCAGACCACAUCCAUGAAACUGUCAGGCUAACUUGUUCACUUGCAAGCAGAAUAGAAUCUAAGAACUGCACUUUAGUAUUUGAGUUGGAGAUUUUCCUAGGAGAAUCUUUAAAGAUUUUAAGAAGUGAUAAUAAAGCUUACAAACAUACAUUAUCUAAAUUAGCUUUUCGUCCCAAUUAAAAAAUAGUUAUAAAGUAGAAAAUAAAAAUGAUGGCUUAUUAAUUUUCCCAGCACUACUGGGAGAGUUAAUUCUUAAGUAGUAAGCUUCCUUAGGCAGUUGGAAACAUAUACUUUUGUGAAUUUAAUGGGUCAUUAUUGGAAGUUCUAUUUUCAUUUACAAACAUUUUUCCUUCCUUUUUUUAUUUUUUAAAAUUCUGGCGGACGUCCUUUCUCUAGAAAGGACUUUAGGAAGCACAUAGCAUUUGAAUAACCUGAGAGCUCAGCAUCCUUGAAUGUGCAAAGCUGCCAGAGUUGGUCAGAGAGUCAACCUGAAUAGAAUUAUCAAAGGCCACUGUGUGGAUGAAAAUGCAAUUUGAGGAUGAAAUGGAAAGCAAGGCUCUGAUAGUUUGGUAUGGGGAUUUAACAUUUGUACAAGGUCCUUGAGGGUAAAGGCACUAAUUAGACAAAUAAGACUAUUUGGAAGAUCGUGGUUUGGAAGAGUCAUUCAUAUGACCCAAAGCAAACGCCAAUCAGAAAAACAUGCCACCUAACGUUUUCCCCAAACAUUGCUGAUUUUUGUUCUUUCAAAAUUAUGGAACUUGUACCCUAAAAUGUUUAAUUAGUAUUCCUAACUCUUUUGGAGGACCUACUCAUGGGGAGUAUAAUGGAAAUGCCCUAUGUUUAACUCGGUUCCUGUUUUACCCUAUUUACAAUGUUUAUCUUCAGGCACUUCCCCAAGAAAGUCUGGGGCAGAUAUUCAUUCUCUAAUGCACAAAUAUGCAUUCACCAGCUGCUGCCAUUUAUAAAUAUGGGACAUGUGAGUCACUCACUUCUAUUAUUGCCAUACAGGAAAAAAAUCAAAUACUUAUCAAAACACUUUUUAAAAAAAAUUUAUAGAAAAAUAACUUUGAAAAUCUUUACUUGUUUAUUCCCAGAUAUAUCAUUUAAUAAUAAACAAUCCAACGACAAGUGAACUCAAGGUGAUAAAGAAGCUUGAAAGAAUCUGAAGAAAGUAAAAAGGGAAAUUAAAGGAACAUUAAAGUGAUUGAAGUAGAUACUACAUGGAAGCACAAGCAAGAGGAAAAAUUGAUAAAUUGGACUUCAUUAUAAUUACAUUAAAGGAUAGUACCAAGAAAGUUAAAAGAUAACAUGUAGAACGAGGGAAAAUAUUUGUGAAUCAUUAAAUCCUUGUAAGAUAUAUAUCUAGGAUAUAUAAAAAAAACUAUUAAAACUCAACAAAAGGAUAAGAUAAACUUGUUUAAAAUGAGCAAAGGACUCAAAUAGAUUUUUCUUCAGAGAAGUUAUACAAAUAGCUGAUAAGCAUAUGAAAUGAUGCUCAACAUCAUUAGUUACUAGGGAAAUGCAAAUUAAAACCAUAAUGUGAUACCACUUCACAUGCACUAUGAUAAUAAAACGAUGGAAAAUAACAAGCAUUGCCAUGGAUUUGAAGAAAUUGGAACUUUUGUACAUUUCUGGUAGGAAUGUAAAAUGAUACUGCGACUGUGGAAAAUAGUUUGGUUGCUCCUCAAAAAGCUAAACCUAGAAUUACCAUGUGGUCUAGCAAUUCCACUUCUAGGUAUAGACCUCAAGGAAUUGAAAACAAGACUGAAACGGUUAUUUGUACACCAUUGUUCAUUGUAAUCUUAUUCAUAAUAAAGAGGUGGAAACAAGUGUCCAUCAACAGAUGAAUGUUAAAAAUAUAAAAUGUAUUUUAUUUUAUAUAUAAUGUGUAUAAUUAUAUAUAAAAUAUUAUAUAAACAUAAAAUAGAAUUAUUCAGCCAUCAAAGGGAAAUGAAGUUCUAAUACAUAUUUUAUUUUUUUGUACCAGGGAUUGAACCCAGGGGCACUUAACCACUGAGCCACAUGCAGGCCCUUUUUAUAUUUUAUUUAGAGAUGGGGUCUUGCUAAAUUGCUUAGGGCCUCACUAAAUUUCUGAGGCUGGCUUUGAACUUGGGAUCCUCCUGCCUCAGCCUCCGAAGUUCUGGGACUGAUGUAUAUUUUAUAUGAAUCUUGUAAAUAGUUAUGCUACAUGAAAUGAGCCAGAGACAAAAAGGACAAAUGGAAUUAUAGAAUUCCAUUUACAUGUAAUAUCUAGAAUGAGCAAACUAAUAGAAAGUAGAUUAGAGAUUACCAAUAGAGAAUUAUUGAGUUAUAGAGUUUCUGUUUAUGAAAUGAGAAAAAUCUGGAAAUAGUGGUGGUAGUACACGAUGGUGAAUUUAAUUAAUGCCACUGAAGUACAAACUUAAGAAUGGUUACAAUGGCAGAAUAUGCUAUGUAUUUUACCACAAAACUUUUUAUAGAGGAUAUAUACCUUCAUUUGGUUUAAAAAGUGUGAAUUCUAAAUUGGUCAAAUAGGUUUCUUUUUUUUUAAUGGAGAAAAGUACUGGGGCCUAGGUAAAUAUAUCUGAGAUAUUUACAAGCAAGUGGAAACUCAAAGGACAAAUACAGACUAUGAUAGGACUAGAAAAAAAGUAAGUUGGAAAAAAUCCAAAUUAGUUUUGAGUGUAAAUAGUUGAUUUAAUUUUUACUAAUCAAACUAGAAACCAUGGGAAGAAUAAUUAAUAGAUCAUGACCAGUAGGAGGGAAUAAUAACCUGUAGGCACUAGUCAUGAUGAGGCCCAUGCAGAAAAACAGAAAUAUGUCAACAGUACGAAGUUACAUAAAAGGAUCAGAAUGUAGACCAGCAUGAGAUAUUGUUGCAACUUUGAGAUAUGUUGUAUGUGGGAGACAAAAUAUAAAAAUGGAAAUAGCUGCGCUAGGAUUAAAAUAUUUCUACUGCUGUUGCAUUAUUCAGCUUUUUAAAAAGGGAAAAUGAAAAAUAGCUCAAUACCUUGCAUCUCAAUUAGUAAUUUGAAAAAUAACUUUGGAGUUUCAGGAUAGAGUCCCUUUAGCCUAGAAUUGUAUCAAUUAUAUACAAUUUUAAACUGCUAAUGUCUAUGUUGUUCGAAUGUCACUAUUUUUCAAUCCAAAGAGAAUGGUUUGCAGAAGUUAUAGAAACUCCAUACUGAGUUUUGAUUGAGAUUUAACUAAACAGUCUCAUUUAUUAUGGAAACUUCAAGGUUCAUUAACAUUAACUUAGGAAUUCAGUAGUUCAAGUUGUUUUUGCCGAUGAGGAAACUGAGGUGUACAGACUGCAAGCUGACAGAAGCAGGCAGGAGCCCAGACUCUUAAGUCUUGGGGCUCUGCUCAUUUCAUUACUUGGUGCAAUCUCUAGUUCAUUGUCAAACUGUGUAUUACUGUGUAUUAUAAAUGCAUACCUAAUGAGCUUAGAAGACAUGUCUUCCAAAUGCUACUAUCUCGUUACUAUUAAUCUGUAUUAAAUUAACCAAACCCAUGAUCCCAUUUCACACUAUGAAUUGAUCUCAAUUCAUCAAUCACUGAACUUUGGCAUAUGCUGGAAUUUUGAUGUGGAGAUAUAAAUGCAAUCAUAUUUCUUAUUCUAUCCUGGUGAAAAUCUGUUCCAAGCCCAUAAAUUAUAUGGAUCAAUUUUGACCUAAAUCAAAAGGGAAAUCAAUCAUAAAACCUUGCCUCCUUUUUUGAUUGCUAUUUAUUUAAUUCUACUUGAAGCAGAAGCUGGUUUAAAAAAGAUCCCCUUCUGGCCCGUCAGUUCUCUCCUGGUUUAAUUCCAUUGCUAUCCUAUUUCAGGUUGCUGAGCCACUGGUCAGGUUGCAAAAUAAUCAAUUUUCUUUUCUGCAUUCAACUAUCAUGGAAAAGGAAAACAAAAACAAGCAUACCAUCCUGAAAAUAGACUAUUUAGCAUUGCUAUUUCAAUACAGUCUACCAUCUAGUUUAUUCAACCAAGAGAAAACUCUAUUUCAAAAUAAUUACAAAGUGUUAGUGGACUUUCCAGGUUGGCAGACAGGAACGAGGGUUGCAGGUGACAUCAUGUGUACUAAUCAGAUCACUAGGUGUUUUUUUUUUUUUGGGGGGGGGGUAUUAGGGAUUGAACCAAAGGGGUUCAAUCCUUGCACUCCCAGCUGGCUCUAAAGGUCAUGUGGAAACUUCAAGAAGAAUUCCUUGCUAACAGAACAAAAACAUCUUUGUUCAGAGGCUUGAUGACAAUUUUUGGUGUUGACCUAACAGCAGAAAAUGGAAUUGAUUACUGAAAAAGAUUAUCAAAUGUAAUUUAAUUGGACAAAUCCCUCAUAAGACUUAAGAUUUUUUUCAACUGUUUGAUUUUUCUGAAUUGUUUCAAAACAGUACCAGGGAAAUUGCUUUAAUUGUAUCUUAUAUUUUUCCUCUUGCAUUCUGAUAGUGUUGUUAAGGGAAAGUAAUAUUGUUAAAAUAUGGAGCUCUUUGAAAUGUGAGAAGGUCCCUUUUUACCUUCUCACCAACUAGAAAUGAAAACUCCUAAACAUGGACUUUAAAUCAAAGUUACCAUGAGAGAAAAUUCUAAAAAAUCAAGGGCAAUACACCUGCUUGAGAGAAUCAGGAUUGGCUCAUCAAUGGCCAGUUUUAGCAUUUAUUAAGUGCCUAUUGUGUUAGUGGUGAUGAAUUCAAAGACAGUAAGACACAGCCCCUUCCCUUGAGAGCUUAAAAUUCUAAUAUGCACCAUUCCAUGGAUUAUUUGACCACUCUGUACAGUAGUGGAAAUGCUUGCCUGAGUAAGCAUAUAUGAAUGUAGAAAAGCUACAAUUUUAAAACCAAGAACUCAUGCUGUGUGAUUCAUAGGAUGUUCAAAUUCUGCCCAAUCCUUAACUGAUUAUUUUUUUUAGGUAGUGCUCCUCAGCCUAAGGAAUCAGAUAAUCCAGGAACUGGCUCUAAGAAUAUGCAUUUCUCAGUAAUUCUAUGUACUUUUCGUUACUUUCUUGCAGAAAAGUCAUAAGUGGACUCUCAUGCAAAGGUGAUGUGUUCCUCAAUUUUCCAUUCAGACUUAUCUGAGAAUAGUUACUAUGGAUGAUUGGAAAUAUUUCACUUUAACAACUCAUUCUUUCGUUAUUUCUAGGCUUUUUUUUUAUAACAUUCCGAUAAAUGGUUCAUUCAAACAUAAUAAAAUACCUCACAAUGGGCUGGCGAGCAAGUGCUGGCUAAAGUAGUUCACUGAGAAAAAGGCUAGAGGUGAGAGGAUUUUGAAAGCCAAAACCUGAACCUGAAGUUAUCCAUUCCCCCAAGGAAAAUUCCCUACUAAAACUGUCCCUGUAAUUGCUUUCACUUUUAUGGGAAAUGUACACAGUCAAAAAUGAAACCUCAUUAAUUUAAUGAAAAUAUUUCCUGGAUGAAUUAAUAAGGUGCUCUCCUGCUGAGUUUAAAGCACCAAGUUAUUGAAAAGACAAAAAGUGCAACUUAAAAGUGCCAGCUUUUGCCUGGCAGCUGGAAUGUGAAAUUCUCAUGGUAUAUGUUUUGCAUUCUUGGUUUCUGUUGACAAACCAUCUCCAUGGAAACAGACAUUAAAUCUCUGAAAAUACUGGAAAAGCUACUACAGAGAUGUCCAUCCAAAACUCUCAAUUGCUGUCCUUUUCCAAGUCAGGUCCCAUAUGCACACCGCGGGCCUGGGAGGACAUUCUCCUUUAGAAAUGACUUUGUCGGGAAGAAACCAAAAGGACAUCUUGGGAAACUAUUUCCUCCCUCUUAUUUCCUUGUUCCUUCUUUUAUUUUUUCCCUUCCUCCCCCGACCUCAAUCAUUCAUUUAUUCAACCAAAUAAUUGAGCUAGAAUAAUGGAUACAUAUAUGCAUAUGGAUAUACACAUAUAUAAUACACAUAUACAUGUUUAUAUUUCCUCUUAUAUAGGUCAGACACUAAUACGUGGUUAUAAGAGCAAAACCAAUCUGCAAAAUAUCUUUGAAUACAUCUAGGAAGCAUGUCUGUUAUAAAACAGUGAUACAAGGACAGGGUUAGGGUCUGAAUCACUAUCAUCCAACACAUAAUGUACAUAUAAGCAUUGGGAUGCUUGCCUGGGCAGACUGGGGUAGGAAUGUGUUGGAGAGCUAGUGUACCUGGGAUGCACAAAAAGAAUUUACAAGAAGCUAAAGGUGUGGGGUGUCUGGCACAUCAUGUGAAUAUUCCAGACAAUCAGAAGUCUGUGCUUAAGACAAAAUCGGUAGACAUAAAACCUCAGUGCCUCAAGCACAGCCAAUAAAAAAUUGAGAAUCAUGUCUCUAUUUCAGAUAAGAUUGACUAUUCAGAGGAAACACAUUUAAUAAAUAACUGCCCUUACCACAGAGUAAUUGACCUACUAGAAAAAUAGAGUACUCUGGAGUAGUCAGACUUGAUUUUUAUGUCAACUGGGCGGGGGAGUCUCCAAAGUUUCUAUCUCAAAUGUAUAAGCGGCAUGGGAAUUAGUCUGGUCACACAGUAUGUAACAGGGUCACUGACAUAAACCUUCAUGGUGAUUUGUUUGGGAUUUAAUAAAAGAGCAGGAUUAUGAAAAGGAAUCAAUGAGUCAUAGAAAAAUGUAGAAGACAAAUUAAUUCAUGUUUUAAGAGAUUUUAAAGGAUUUUUAGCAUUAGUGAUUGUUACCCUAAAGGAUCUUAUGGGUGUGUUCCAAUUUAAAUUGGGCAAGAUAUGCCUGGUCAAAUUCAUAUUUCACCACAGCCAGUGGUCCUAGUUCCUGAAAUCAAGCAUUAAUUUAAAAAAAUGAGAAAAAACUAGAUAACUAACAGACUUUGAAGACUUCACGUUUCUUUAAAGUGCCAGUACAAUUCAUGUUUCUCAAAUCCUUAAGGUAAAAGCAAAAGCUAUUACAGACCCAUAACCGAGGACAGAAAAUGAAAGCCAGAAAAUGCCAGUUUUUGAAAUAAAAACCAAAAAGUUUCCUCAGAAAAUGUUCUGAAAUCUUCCUAGAAGUGCUUCUCCGGAAUAAAGAUUUUGAAAGUGUGUCUAAUAGAAAUAUAGCUCUCUGUUCAGCUAUGAUCCCAAAAUACCUCUCUAAAAGUCAUCAAAUACUGCUUUUCAGUGUGACUAGUGUGAGCUAGCGCUAAUCUUGAAAAUAUAAUAUUAAUGGUAUGAUGCUAUUUUGAUGAUAGCUGUUGGACUCAUUUUCAGUAUUUUGCUAGGAAAUCUUCAGCAUUCUUCCAGUACCAUCAAAGAUGUUCUGACUGGUCCUGUCUGAUUAUAAAUACUCCCAGAGUGGAAAAGGGCCUCAGUUUUAGAGUUAGAUGUUCCUUAAAGGAUAUUUUUUGCAAGUUCGUGCUAUUUGUAUGCUUGCUUUUAAAGCACCAUCAUAAUGUCUUUCUCCCACAUUCUUCUCUCUCCUUGGGAAGUUCUGUCUCCUCUAUUUUGCCGACAACAUGUCCCUUUUCAUAAAAUCUUGCCUCGUUCUGGCCCUUCACAGAGUUCUUUAUAUUUUUAGUGCAAUGGCAAAUUCUGUUUUCUGCUAUAACUGGUUUCUCCAUUAGAUUGUAAGCUGUUUGCUGUAUACAUAUAUUUUGAUUCAUAUUUAAAGAAAAACGUUCAUGAUCGUGUGUUGAACCUUCUAUUAGAUGGUUUUAUGUGCAUUUGAUCUUCACCAUGUCCCUUGCAUGCUUGUGAAGCUCCUGGAUCUUUGUGCACCCUCCUUAAUGGCACUGUUAUUUAAUAUGGUCUUCUGAGAGGAUUCUCCUACCAGAAAGGAAGGUCCCGUGCAGAUGAAUAGACCCAGGAAAAUCUAUACCUACAUUUUAAAUCAGUGAGUUUACUAAAACUUGAUUCAUAUAGGUCAGCUUCCCAAAAUGUAAUGACUCUUUGAUGAAGGAAAAAGAUGAUAAUCUAAACUUGCAAAGUUCAUGCGUGGACUGUGGAAUAUGGAGAUUCCAUUACUAAGUAGCCAGAAUGGUAAGGUCCUGAGACAAAGGAGGACAGCAGAUAUUAUACCUCUUCUUAGACUAUUUCUUGUUGUGUAUACAAUCAAUUUAAAGAAGAGAAAACUUCCUUAUAUGGAACUGGAUUCUGACAUGAGAAAACUCAGAAAGAUUCUUGAAUACUUUUUUUUUUUUUUGUAUUGGGAAUUGAAACUCAGAGGUAAUUUACCAUUGAGCUAUAAACCCAGUCCUUUUUGUAUCUGGGUAUGUCUCAUUGCUGAGGGUUUUGUAAAGUUGCUGAGGCUGACCUGGAACUUGCAAUCCUCCUGUCUCAGUCUCCCAAGUCACUGGGACUACAGGUGUGUACUACUACACCUGGCUUUCUUGAAUGCUUUCUAAAGAAAUCUGAAAAAUCUCAAACUAAAGUUCACCAACAGGUAGAGAAAAAGUAAAACAAAAUGAAACCCUCAGACAGUUUUUUCUUAUAGCUUCAACUAAUGGCACAUUUAUAAUGAUUAUAACAUAGUUGAUAUUAAGUAGAAAAAUAAAACUAGUUUACUUUUAUGAUUGUUAGUCUUCGGCUUAAAGUAUAGGAAAGCAAUCCAAAAACAGCUUUUGAAACUGAGCACAAGGUUAAUAAAAUUUCUUUCAAGAGUACCUUCCAUGUCCAGAAAUUAAUAUUUGAAUGCCCGCAUGCCUGGAUAGGCAUUUCCUAUUAUAUAGUUUGGGAGCAAGUUGAAAUGCAUUUUUGUUUUGCUCUUUGUUUCUUACUCUUUGGAAGCUUUUGACAAAGUGGAGAAAUAAACAGGACUGUUACAAUAAAAUAUGUGAAAAGAUAAUACAUGAAGGGCCAUGGAAGAUUCAGACUAGGGCACAUAGGAAGGAGGCUUCUUGGAGGAAGUGGUACCAGAAGAGAAGGAAAUAAAAGUUAGCCAGGUAAAGGGAUGAGAAGGCAUUUCAAGCAGAAAAUUAAAUAAAGUCAUAAGAGUGAAAUGACAUGAUGCUAACUAGUGUAUCUGGAAAAUCAAUGGCGGCUUCCUUAGGGCACUCGGCUGGAGUUACCACCACGACCAGAUGUCAGCCUGCAGAGGCAGGGAGGGACAAAGGGUCACUGCACUUUGUCUCCUCCAUAGUCCUGAACUAUCAGCUCCUUCAUGGUGAGAAUGGACUCUUAUUUACUUGAAUAUAUGAUUUAACUGUUUGGUGACUCAUUAUCAGAUUUAUAAUUCACUGAGGAGUUGCCAAUGAAACUCAAGAAUGAGAAAUACCAUUUUGAAGGCAAGUUAAAUCCAACUCUCCUUUGGAAGAUUCAUGACUAUAAAGGGGACAUAGGGUCAGCAUUUUAAAAAUUAGCUUUUUAACUUAUACAUAAAAAUAUAAGACUGUACAUAUUUAUGGAAUACGAUGAAGUGUUUUUGAUACAUGUACAUAUUGUAUGGAUGUUUAUAUCAGGUUAUACAUGUCUUCUUAAACCUUAUUUUAGUGGUGAAAGCUAAAAAUUCUUCUAGCUUUUUAAAAAUAUACAUCACAUUAUUACUUAUAGGCACCCUACUGUGCAACAGCACACCAGAGCAUCUUGCGUCUAUCUAACUGUAACCUAGUACUCCAAUUGACCUUUCCCUAUUCCUUUUCAUCCUAUCCUAAUUGCUCCAGCCUCUGGUAAUCAAUAUUCUUUUACCAACUUUUAAGUGACCAGAUUUAAAAUAUUUUGCAUAUGAAUGAAAUCAUGUGGCAUUUUUCUUUCUGUGCCUGGAUUUAUUUCAUUUGACAUAAUGAUCUCUGUUUCUCUCCAUGUUGCAAAUGAUAGGCUUUCAUUCUUUUUUAAGGCUGAAUAGU